This 16263-nucleotide long non-coding RNA is filed under the name Gallus gallus (chicken). RNAcentral describes it as "lncRNA (ENSGALG00010018400.1)". The record is from RNAcentral. Lineage: Eukaryota; Metazoa; Chordata; Aves; Galliformes; Phasianidae.
UUUGUUUUGUUUUUGUUUUCCCCUUUGCUGAGCUUGGAAAAGUGGUUGUGGAAUGGAUCGGUUUACAUUUCUUUUUGAGUAUAUACCAACUGUAUUAAGAGUUAAAUAUGAAAAAGGAUGAAAAUAAGUACGAAAGACAACAUCCGUUCUCAUUUCAAUUUCCUGGAAGGAAAGUGCGGUUGGGCAGAUGGUGCUUUUUUGUUUUACUAAACUGAAUGAUCAGAUGUAAAUAAUAUAACCAUAUAAACUAUAAAGAUCGUUGGAGGUGGCUGAAUUGUACCUUAGCUAUUUCUGUUCCCAUCCAUGGAGAACCAGGACACUGAGUUUCUGGUUAAACAGGUAGAGGAGAGUGGCUGGUAAUUUGGCAUCACGUGAGUCUCGAUAUUUCUCUAUUAUUGUUAAUUUUCUUCAUACCCUGGCUUUAUUAUGUGUUAGGUGAAUUUUUUUUUUUAGUUUGAUGUGAUUUUUAUGUGUUUGGAGCUCUGCUUUUAUUUGCUUUCUACGUUGGAACACUAAAUAUUCCUAGGAUGUAGAAGAAUUUGUGUUCUCUGGUAGUUACAAAAGGUCCUUAAAAAAAAGGAAAACAAACAAACAAACAAAAACCCAACAAACAAAAUAAUCCCACCUCUUCUAAUCAUGAAUGACUAAACGUGACUCAGUAAGGUCACUAAUACUGUCUUCUACACUGAAGGAGGAGAAAAAGACCUUGUGUGAUGAACGUCUAACGAAAUAAUACUAUGGUUUCAUUCUCAGCUAGGAUCAAACUGUAUGCUCUUUAUUUCUCCUCAUAUCCUGCAUGAUGGGGUUCAGACAGAGGGCUUGUUUGUAUUCACACUACACGAGCACCUCUACCAGUGGUAGUGAACUAGAAAUAAUAAUGCAAACCUCUUAGUAAGUUAUAAUAUCCCUGAACACCCUCCUGGUCCAUGGUGACAUCAUGAAUUUGAUGCCUUUUUACUAGAUAAAUGGACACAGCAGAGGAGGAGAAGACAUUUUCUUGCUGAAAGUGUAACACUGUAUUCCUCAGGAGAAAUGACACAUACAAAGUUAUAGAAAUCAAAUAUAAAAUCAGAAUGACGAGAUCUGUGGAAAUUUGAAUACAUAAUAUCACUGCUAUAACUCCUCAAAAAAUCAAAAUGUGGAGGCCAAUUAGGUGAUUAAAUUAAGCUGAAACUGACUUUCUGAAGUUCAUAAAAAAUUAGGAGUAGUAAGAGAAACUAGUUAGUUUUUUAUAAGCAAAUAGGAAUGUCAAAUGUAUAUAAGAAAAUUGAUUGGGUUGUGGUAUUUUUGUUGUUGUUGUUGUCGUUGUUGCUUUUUUAAUACUUAUUAACCUAAGAGACCUGUUGUCAGGGCCUUAUUCUGAGUUUUUAGCUAUUUUAAACUCAUAACUGCUGGAAUCAAAUGAUUCCACAAGAAUUUCAUCUCUUGUAAAAUAAAAUGUUAGUAGCAAAAACAGAACUUGAAAAUUUGGUCAGAAUAAACCCUAAGAUCUCAAAAAACCAAACCAAACCAAACCAAAACAACAAAAAACAAAACAAAACAAAACAAAAAAGAACACAGAAUCAUAUAUUUCUUUUUAAGCCAUUUCCAUGUUUCCAGAGCCUGAUGUAUUUUUUUUAGGCUCCUUGAUUUUAACAGUGCACAAAAAGAAGGAGCAAUACAUAAUAAUGACAUUACAGCAGUACUAUUCAGAAAGUGGAAGAAAUAACAGAAAAAAAUGUAACUGUCCUCCAUUUAGUCUGAAGCUGCACUGCAAAAGGGAAUGAAUUAGUGCUUGUAGCAAACGUGUCAUUGGAGCUAUGAUUUUAUAGGGGCAAAUUUUCAGCAUUACAUAUUAACUGAGAAAUAAAUCAAACAAAAAGGAAAGACUUAAGCUCACAGAACCUCCUGCCUCAUAACUUUUCUGAAAGCUUGAAAAUCUCAGAGAAAGAGAUUCAUCUCCAGUUGCGCAUGGACAGCUUGGUAAUAAAUAAAUAAUAGAAGAAAUCUAAUAAUUAAAGACUCCAGAGAGAGGUCUUAGGACUGGAGGAAAAAAAGCACCAAAGCAGAGAGGCUUCAGCUCAACUGUGGUCAUGCAUCUAUCAAUUUGUUUUGGUGCACAAAGGGGGUAACUUUGCAGGAGGAUGUGUGCUGCUGAUGGGUACUGCAGGCAGGAAGCAGAGCUGGGGUGCAAGUGUCAUGGACAGACAGUGAAAGCAGCAGAAGCAGCUUCCCAUAAGCGGGCAGGGCUUCGGACGGUUGCUCACUCAUUUUCCCACAGUUAAAAGCUGACAAACUUGAAACGGUUAGGGGCCGAUAAGGCAAGUGUAGUUAAAAAGGAAGGAAAGGUUUUAAACACCUGAGGCCAAACUUCUAUCUUCUGUUGAUCUCAACUGGAAUAAAAUAAUAUUUGCAAGCCCAAGAUGUGACUCCUUGUCUCUUGUACAUAUUCUGAAACCCAUAGAAAUUGAUCAUGGAGUAUUUCUGGCUUUUCUGGCUGACCACACCAUAGACAUUGCUGUCCUCAUGUACAAACAGUUCUGUGCUUGCAGUAUGUCAUGCUAUAGGUAAAUAGUGCAUUAGCACAUUCACUCACAGACAUGUAAUUAUGGAUAGUGCUCUAAACGGAAGAGGAGAGAUACCAUUUGCAAGUAAAACAGACUGGUCCCAGGUUAAGUUACAGUUACCAAACAAAAUGGAGGCAGUCUUCAGGCCCUGACAAGCAGCUGCGAGUAAAACCUGUUGAACAAGUAAGACAUCAAAUGUCCUGUGGCAUCGGAAAGCAAAAAAUCUGAUAUUUGAUUUUUCUUUCUCUUGAAAGAAGCACUUCAUCAUGUAAACCCAAUUCUUUGUUUCGUGAGUGGGCCUGGACUGCCACUGUUCAUUACUAUGGGAGUCGAUGUAGAAAUCAACACAGUAAUGCCUUUCAUCUCUUGUAUUAUAAGAAUUCAAAUUCAAUUUUUAUUUUACAGCACAGACACAUAAUACCUCACAGUAUGGUUCUUGGUUGCAACCAUCCGUUAACAAUGGUUUUGAAAAGAGAUAUAGAACAUAAAAAUAAAACCCUAUUUUUCCCCCCAGUAGUUUGUUUCAUCUUACGAACAAUAGCAAUUCACCAUCUAAAACACACAGUAAUAGUAAGUAGAUUCUAUUAAACACUGUAUUCUUCCUAAUUUUAUUUAUUUAUUUAUUUAUUUAUUUUGACCACUGACAUAGUUAGCUGUUUCACAAAACCAGUGGUCUACAAAGUCUGGCCAACUGAUGCCUUUGCCAAUAGUAUACUAGGAUGCUAAGGGCCUUUCUUAGCUCCCAUACAGCAGACUACUGCACUUUUUCUUAUGCCAGUCAUGGAACUGCAAUACCAUGGGAACACUUAGACCUACAGUGUUUUACAGUGGGGUGCGUGGCCUGAGGUUUACAUGACUAUAACUGAUGCUGAUCAUGUUCUUAAUAAUUUACUCAGGUUCAUAUAUCUGCAUGUUUUACAAGGCUUUCAGUCUGAGUGUUUGACAAUAGCGUAUGCAUACGGUUAAGUGUGAAAGCCAUUACCCAAACAGGUGGACUAACUUUCUGUACAGUGUAUCUUUUAAAGUUGCGUGGUCAUCAUUCCUCCUUUGUCAGUGCUUCUGCUAAAGUGUCAAACUGAGGCUCUUUGCAACCAGUGGUUAGCUCUGUGGUCUAGAGACUGUUUCAUAAAGGCCCUAAAGAUAUUUCAGAAGCUAGGUGGCCCAGCAGAUUCUUUCUCUGGUUAAAAUGCAACAAAAUCCCAUCAGCCUCAGCAGUGAUCAGAGCAACAGAGGAAACAGCAACAUAUGAAAAACAGGGAUGGAGAUAUCCAAAGUAAUCUCACUAGUUUAUGUUAAGAAAGGAUUUGACAGACCUGCUGUGUUCCUACUUAAUGUCAAUCAAGCCUGAGAGGGACCACUUCAUCUCAGGUAUUUAUCUCAUACUGAUUUGAAUUAUUCUCACUUCUUGAUUUGGAAAGUCCAGAACAGAAUACCCUGAGAAGUGUGUGUUGACAUAUCCUACAUAAAACAAAAUUAAACCAAUCCAAGUCAAGGAAAUAAACAAUGUGACAUGAGAAUUGGGCCCUUUGAGUUUGACAACAAAAGUAGUCAAAUGUAGCUCUCAGUCAGGGCUGUAAGUUCUCAGAAAUUCUUCUGGGAAGUGAAAAAUCCAUGAAUUCCACUGCAUCAUCUCCUUCAUACAAAAAGGAUAAGCAAAACACGUGCAGGAAAAAUCAGCUAUAUUAUUAAUCUCUCUUUUUGCUGGUAAUCAAUAUAAGCCUUAUGUUUCUGUUGCAGACGUAACAGUAACUAAAGAGCAGCAUUCGCGGUUAAGUCUGGAUUGUCCUUCUUCAUUAGCCUAAUUCUGUGCAUAUCAAAACUUAUUCAGAAGAAAUUGUUUUAAAUGGUUACCAAGAUAUAAAUGAUUAUCACUGAAAUCACAGGAAAGAUAGUGCUUACCAAAACCCCAAGAAAGUACUUCAGACAAUUUUUCUUUCAUUGCCAAGCAGCGAAGGUCAAGUGAACUGUACUAUUUGCAAAUAUCCACCUUCCCAGUCUGUCACGAGCAGCUGUAACAUACCCACCAGCAGCAAUUUCCACUUGGAUCUAUCCAGAGGGAAGAAAGUACCAGGAAUUGCAUUGUUUAUAAUUCCCUCAACGCCAAGGGUAAUUCUGUUCACCAAUUACUUGAAAUUAAAGCUAGGUAAUUUGACACGUCUGUUUGGUACCCAACCACAAAAUACCUCUUAAGCAAACCAAAGAGUUGGAAAGUUUACUUCCACAAUACUUUACAGAAUUUCAUUAUUGCAGCCAUGACAGUAAAGUACAAAUGAGAAGUUACAUAAACUCAUGAGUAGCUGGGGUUUGGAGGGGAACGGAGUUUGUCAUUGUUGCCAGUGUUAAGGAAUGCCAAUGGGUUUGACACAGAGCUGGAAGGCAGUUUUCUUCCAAGGAUGAGGCUUCCCAAUCAAAUAUAGCAAAUAUAGUAAGAAUUGAGCAACAAGAAGCUUCCAAGUGCAAUGUUGGACAGAAAAAGAAUGCUGUUCUCUGCAAUUAGGAGUGUUCAUACGUUGUGUCUUUGCAUGCAGUUACAAUGCUUCCUAGAAAAAGGCAAUGCAUAUGCAGAGAAAGAAUUACCCAUAUUAUCUACAGCCGGUAUUUUUUUUUAUCUUUAAGUCCACUCAUUUAAGUUACAUAAUUGAAGCCUGAGUUAGAUUAUAUCUAGGCUUGGAUUUUUUUUAAAGUCAAAUAAACCUCUUAAACAUUACAUUGGUGAUGAGUUUGUGUACACACCACUUCCGUAUCUCUUUGUGAGUAACAAACUAGCUGUCAGGUAUCUCCACUGAACUGCAUGACUCACUCCGUGGAUUCAUUUUACAAUCUGGUAAAACCGGUAACUGAUAACACCUAUCCUUUGUAAGAACUUUUUAGGUGUUUUAAUUUGACAAAUGAACAUUUACAAAAAUGAAUAAAUAAAAGAUUAGACUGAUGAAGUUUAAAAACACAAAAGAUGACUCAAAAAUCCAUUCACUCAACAUUAUUUUGAGCAGUAUAGCUAAUGUCAGUGAAGUGAGCCUAGUUCUCCUUUCCAUCAGGAUAAAUGAGGUGUAAUUUCAAAGACACCAUUAUCCUUAAACAGUGUAAAAUAAGUGAACAAGAAAUACAGAGCCACUAUCUUUUACUAGUCAGAGGAGUCAAUUUUUAAUUGUGUAAUCUCGAUCUUGUUAACAUAGCUUCCUAUUUAGAAACUUUAGUGCCAAAUAAGUAGAAGGUGCUAUAUUUUUUAACUCUGAAUAUGAUUACCCUUUCAACCAUAUUCUGCAUUUCAUUUUUACUAUAGAAGUUGUUCGUUGUCCAAUUUCAAGCUGAAAAACUAUAAAAGUCCAUUUUGACUUCACUAUAGAAGAACUAAAAGUUUUUUUUUUUUUUUUUUAACUAGGAUUAAAUUGAUAUAUCUAGAGCUUCAGUCAUUGUAAUAUGACAUUAGGAGCAUAGUCAAAUACUAGCUUUGACUAUAAGUGUCCUACUAAAGUAGCAGUCUACUGCAGAGUGCUUUUUGAUGUAUCAAAGAAAUGGUACUAUCUUUCAAACUGCAUUCAUAUUCUAACCUCCUAUCAUCAAGGUAAAGUAAUAGCAGGACUAAAGCAUGAUCUUUUUUUACAGUUUAUAGAAGUCAAUGCUAUAAGGGAUUGCCUAGCCUUCCAUUAGAUAUUCAUGUUUAAAUGAACCACAUAUAGGCUUUCCAAUCUACAAACUCCAUUAAUUAGGUUUUCUCCUUUUCUCUGUCUUUUAUUUUAGGCUUCUUUACCUUCUCCCCUGCUGACACUGCUAUAGCUUCACUAAUGACAGGCCAAGUAAUUUUUCUUUCCCUAAAACUGAAACACUCUUACUGGAACUAUUCACAAAUAUUUCAGUCUAAUACACUUGACCAAUGACUUCAUUACUUAGUGGGUAGAUAAAUUUUUACUUCAUUAUCUUUCAGAUCUGCCACAAAUCAUAUAGAAGGUUCUACCUCAUGAGACUGUUUUUGUUUUGCAAAAACAAACAAACAAACAAAAAAACUUGGUUAGUAGACAAAAUGUCUUUAAAAAAUUCUUCACAUUUAUAGCUUUGUUAUGUCUAUACUAUGUACAGCAGACAGACAGGCAGACAGAGAGUAUACAGCCAUGGGGGAAAAAAAAAAAAAAAAAAAAAAGUAGCAUUAGGAGGAUCAGAGCUGGAAGUGAAUCCCCAGAGGUGGUAAGGUAUGUGUGACAAGAUAACAGAAUUUGGGUUCCCUUUUUUUCCUGGGAACGUUUCCCCACAUAUCUCCUCCACUUUUUCUUUUCCCCUGGAAAGAGCAAGUUUUCAUCCUGAGAGUGGUAGAAUCAAUUCUAACUUUUUUGUUAGUGUGAAUUUAGGACAAAAUAUAGAACUCCACAUUCACGCAGCAAUGGGGAAGAAUCUCUAAAAAUGAUUAUUUACAAAUGAAACAAUGCAUUUAUUUUGAUAUUGUUGAAUUGUGUCACUGAAGUCCACAAGCUUUCUCACUGAAGAGCUUAAAAUACUGAAUAUAUGAUAUGAAUACUACUACAGAAUAAAAUAAAAUUUUGAUAGGAUAAAUUCAGAAGAAAAAAGCAGAAAUGAAUUAAUCUACUUUGAUUUUGAGGCAUUGAAAUAGUUUCUGUUGACUAUAUUGUUAAAAUCAGCAUGUUCUUGUACAGUAUUUAAAAUACAACCUUUCUGAAAACAGUUUUUGAUCAACUUUAUGUAGAAGAAAAUGUUAUUUUUAUUGUUUUUACCAUAAAUGCAUGAAAGGUAUUCAUAAUGACAGACACUGCUGAUGAAAAGAGCCAGAUUAACACAAUGGGUCCUUCCCACAGAACGAACAGGUAAUUAGGGAUGGUAUUGCCAUAUUCAAAAUUGCUCUUUUGUAUCUGAGUCUGUUCUAAAACUGGACCAGCAAACAGUUCAAAUUCCAGACACCUUAAUCAAGCAAAAACCAAUCUUAAUUUCAGGUCCUUCUCCUUCUAAAUGAAGUCUGCAAGAGUAACAAGAAUUGUCCAGUAAAAAUGUGAAUGUGUUGUAAAUGCUACAUGGGAACCCAUGGCUAAAUGAAAGAAAAUGAAAAUAAAAAACUGUUAGUCAUAGACUUAUAGAAUGAUUUGGGAUGCAAGAGACCUUAAAGCCCAUCCAGUUCUAACCCCCUGCUGUAUGCUGGCUGCCACCCCCCAGGUCAGGCUACCCAGGGCCCCAGUCCAACCUGGCUCCAAACACUUUUAGGGAUGGGGCACCCUCAGCUCUCUGGGCAGCAGUGCCAGUGCCACAUUACCCUCUGAGUAAAUAAUUUCCUUCUAAUAUCUAGCCUGUAUCUCUCCUCUUGUAGCUUAAAACCAUUCCCCCUUGUCCUAUCACUGUUGGUCCAUAUAAAAAGUCAGUCUCCCUCCCCCUUACUGAAAGACUGCAAUGAGGUCUCCCUGGAAGCUUCUCCUCUCCAGGUUGAAAAAGCUCUGCUUCCUCAGCUUGUCUUCAGAGGACAGGUGCCCCAGCCCUCAUCCUUGUGGCCCUCUUUAGUUCUGUGUGUAAGCACUUCAUCACAGUAAGGAUGACAGCACUGGAACAGGCUGCCCAGAGAGGCUGUGGAGUCUCCUUCUCUGGAGACGUUCAAGACCCAACUGGAUGCCUACCUGUGCAACCUGGUCUAGGGAGUGAUCUCUAGAGGUCCCUUCCAACUCCUACAAUUCCAUGAUUCUGUGAUUCUAGAUCCAUACCAACUGUUCCCUGUUUUUCUUGUGCUGGGGGUCCUAGACCUGGACACAAUAAGGAGAUAACUCUCCAGUAUAGCUGGAUGAAUCUCCAAUAUCAGGAUACAAGAUAACCCUAGUACAGAUCAAAGAAAGUAUUUAUUAUACAAAACUUUUCUCCUGCUCUCAAACGUAAACACUUUAUCUACAGAAACAUUCCAGAUUUGGUCUGGAGGGCAAACUCUGGAAAUGAAAACUCUCCAUCUGUAGAUCCACAAUCAUAGAAUCAUCAAAUCCUUAGAGUUGGAAGGGACCUUUAAAGGUAAUCUAGUCCAGCUUCCCUGCAAUGAACAGAGACAUUCACAGUUAGGUCAGGUUGCCCAGAGCCUGAUCCAGCCUCACACUGAAAGCCUUCAGGGAAAGGGCAUUCACCACAUCCCUGGGCAACCUGUUUUAGUGGUUCAUCACUCUCAGUUUAAAAGACUUUUUACUUAUAUCCAACCUAAAUCUACCCUCUUUAAGCUUGAAACCAUUUCCUGAUUUCUUAGGUGACCAAUCAGUGCAACACUCAGGAGCAAGGUCUUAGAGACAUUCCUCAUCAGGAUUUCAAUCAUUUCUUCAUUUCAAUGUCAAAUGAUAGGUGGUAGCCAUCAUUGUUGAAUCAGUUCAUACUAACUAUGCAUCAAGACAUGCUCCCCCCACUAUCCAGAUUCUUCCACUUUCUCUUAGAUAUACAGAUCAAAUUUUAUUAAAUUCUUCCUUCUUGUCAAAGUGAAUUACAAGCAUCAGAUGGAUAGGGUUGAACAGCUUAUAAUGUGCACAUAGUAACAAUGCUUCCAGAUACAGUAUUGAAUGAAUGAUAAUGUAUGCUGAUACUGGCUCAGCUGACACGCUAUGUGGCCAAAAUUCAUUGUUACAUCAGAAAAACAAAAAUCAGGAAGGACUGUGAAGAAGGAACUUUCUUGCCAAAUUCAAAUCACAAUAAUGUUGGUAUCACUUGGGAAUAACAUAACUAAAUGGAUCUGAUUUUGCUGGCUGCAGCAGAAAUGACCAGAAAGGAAUGCUGGGCAGACCUUGCACUUCUCUGUAUAGUGCUUCUUCUGCAGCUCACGUGCUCCCAAGUCACACUGUAUAACAGCAAGUACAUGACAGCCUGGUGCCACUCUCUUGUUUCACAUUGUUCUUAUAUGUAACCCUAUUUUGCCUGCAUAAAUAGGGAGGAAUUUCCAAUUCUGCAGAGAUACUACAAGUUUAGUCAUGAAGAUAAUUAAGUCCUUUGGGCUUGAACUACCCAAACAUUUCAUACUUGAAAGAAAUUCAGAUAUGACUCUUAAUGCCUGGACUACUGCCAUCUAAACAGUUUGGAUUCAUUUGAGGUUUAAUAUUAGCUCCAAAUUCUUCUUCACGUCAAUUCAUCAUUCAGAUAUUUACUAUUCCAAUUAUUAGUAUUAUAUAAUAGUCAGACAUUCUAAGAUACUGUACUGCCUACUGCUACCUACAUAUGAAAGCAAGCAUACAUCUUUCAAAAACUUCAAAUUUAAUCAGCAAAAAAUAGAAAAAAAAAUAUAUCAAAGAAGAAAAAAGUUAUUAAAGCAUUUUUCCAAAGAAAAGGAAACAUAGGAAGAGCCCAGUCAGUUGCCCCCUAAAAAAACACCAAUGAUCUGGAGGGAAACUCUUGAAGAUUAUAAUCUCCCAAAGCAAUGGGAAACUUCGUUACUAGGUCAUUUUACUAUGAACUUUUUGCAGCAAUAAUUAUUUCUCAUUUUUGUUGAUCACUGCAGUCAAAUAAAAUUAUUUUUACACAUUCCAGAACAUAAAGAACUCCAGCACUGAAAUAAAUAUUUUUUCCAUUGACAGAAACUUAGAUCUUGAGGAAUUUACCAAAAAUGUAGGUACGUCUUGAUACAACUGUGAUGGUCACAUAAAAGAUACCUUGAUACCGAAACAGGAACACUUGCUUAAAAUCAAGCUUCAGUGUCUAGAGAUCUUUGAAGGUAAGGAGAAAGGCAGAAGAGCUGCAUUUAUCUAGGAUUACAGAAUCACACAGAAUUGCAGGAGUUAGAAGGGACAUCAAGAGAUCAACAAGUCCCCAUUAGGACAUGCACCUCUGUGCAAGAUUCUCAGCAAUUUUACUUGCAUUUCUAAGUAGAGCUCCUAGAACCACCUUUGUUUGGAAAUUACUGUAGUAUUUUAGCAUCAAAACAUGACAAUGUCUGAUUAAUUUUAUAUUAUCGCUAGCAGUAAAUGUGUGCAUAUCAGUAUAUACACAUGCUAUGCCAAACAUUUUUUGAAUUAAUAUAAUUUAGGUCACUCAUAAGCCAUUUGAAAAACAUAAUUGCAAGAAAUAAAAUGAAACCUUUUAAAAAUUUUAUUGCAGUGUAAGGUUAACUCUGAGCUGACUAAAAUCUGGAUACCUUUCAAACCUAUGUUCCUCAUGUGGAGAGCAGUGGGAUAAUUCAAGCUUAGCUAUCUGAUACACUUUCUUCAGGUCUCUGCAGAAGUAAUUAAAACAGAAUAUGGAUAAAUCAUUUGCCAACUUUCAUUUUUAUUCAUAGGCUAAAUUUUAUUCUAAAACUAAUACAAAGCCAUAUUUUACUGUUGAUCAAUGUAAAUCCGAAAUGAUUGUGAGAUAGAAUACGAUUCACUUAUAUUUAAGACUAACAAAUGAAUGUCUUUUUCACAUAGAAAGGGCUUCUGAAGAGUUAUGUAAUUCAAUUUUGUCUUGAAAAAAAUGUGAACUCAGAAUUAUCAAUACUCAUGAAGCAGGUGAAACUGCGUCUUUAUUAUGAAUAGGAGGGUUACUUACAUGACUUGCUUAUGAUCUGACACCCAGAUUUAUUACCUUGUUUUGGACUGAUAUUUUUAUAAUAAUUUCCUGCCUCUUUAGCUUCUCUUUCAGUGGUGAUGUAAUGCAUUACGAAAUGAAGAGAUGAGACUGAAUCUCAAAGAUCUUAGAAAGUUCUGUCCAGUUGAUUAGGGACUGAAAAGAUUUUUUUACCUUUCAAGGUUAAAUAUUCCCAGAUGAGUCCUAUGCCUAAAAGCUUAGUCCUGCUGUUUUUCAACUAAUCAUUUGCAAAACUGAAGGAAAAAUAAAAAUUAAAAAGGUAAGACAGAAAAAAAAAAAAAAAAAAAAAAGAGAGACUUCUGGUAGGUGAGCCACAGCAGGGCAAUUAAGAUGAUAUGGCAGAGGUAGACAUCUGCUCCUAGACAGAUACAGUUCCACUGAUGCUAUCUAUAGCUGCAAUCCUUCUGAGAGAUAAACAACGUGCGAGAGCAACGCACAGAAGGAAAUACCACACUGAGAAAAUGAUGAUGGGAGACCAAGCUUGCGGCCCCUGUGGUCUGAGAAAGAGUGAGAGGCAGCAAAAGAAAAAGGGAGGGGUGACAUGUGGGGCCUGUACCAGGCACACGCAGGUGACUGAGUCGUAUGAUGGACACACAUCAAGAUGUAAAGCUGGAAGCUGUGUGAGAACUGACGCUGGAGGGGAGCAGAAUCACAGCAAAGAUGAAAGGCUGGACCUAGGGCUUGAUUUGCUUCCACAAAAGAUCAACAGCAUCGAAGUCUCAUCCUGUCAUCCUAUCUCACGCCGUUACCUCAAACCAAAAAUGCAACUCGUAAUAAUUCUUCCUGGUUACCCUGUGGUCUCAUUUGGUUAAAAAUAAAAGUUUCUUUUCUCUGUCUGGGAACAAGACAGCAAUAUCAAGAAGAAGAGUUUAAUUAAAAACUGGAGCUAAUCUCAAGACCUCAUGCUUUGGAAUUUAUUUAUUUAUUUUUAAUGUCUGCGUAUGAAAGGCUCUUGUCCAGAAAAACCUUGCCUAGAAAGUCUGAAGUUUUCUGUGUAUCUGAAGGAGGCAGAGGUGGACUUAAUGCCUUUAACAAGCAAUUCACUUGAGGCUAGAUUCUGCUAUCCUAACUCAGUUUAUACCCAAAGGUGGCAAAUUUAAAUACUUCUUCUGUCGACAGGUUGCUCAUAAAUAGAUAUAAACAGACGGCAUUUACCUCCGAUGUAUUCAUUAUGGAAAAUUGUGCAAUAAGCCUUAUUGUUUGUUUAACUUCACUCGUCUUCCUUAUUCUAGAGUGCAAUCAUGAAUGUUUGAGUGAUGUAGAUGUUGGUUUUAGUUAGUUGUUUAUUGUUUUCGUGGUUUUUUUUUUUUAGACUCUUGCAUUUUUCUUUCUUUCUGCUUAUUUUUAAUUUAUUUCACAUUCACACACAUAAGCCUCAACUUUUCUUUCUGAGACAUGAAAGCUGGAAAAACUCUGUUCUGUGAGUGCGUGCAGAAAGUGAAAGAAAAACAUAAAUGGUAAAUAUCUAAUGUACAUUAUUCCAAAAGCUUAAUUUUUGAAUAUAAGUGUGAAAUAAGGUCAUCCCUUUAUUAAAAUUCACCUAGAUCUACGUUAAAGUAUCAAAACAGGAAUGGUAUCAGGAAAGAACAAAGCCCUCCUACAAAUGUGUUAGUUAUUAAUGUAUAAUUUCUCCUUUUAGAGUACAAUUCUUUCAGCAUAUCCAGCAAAUAAUUCAAAUAUUUGUAGGCCAUCAUAAAAGAUCUGAUAAUUUAAGCUAGUAAAGGAAAGCUGUAAUCUUGGAGAAAUCCCCUUUGGAAUAUCUACAGUGACCAUCUAUCAACAGAGAAAGACAGUUCCAGAGAUAAAACCCCUAAUGUUCAUCAGAGUGUAAUAAUUUUUGGACAUUACAAGUGCUAAUGUAGCUUUGCUAUUCCCAGCUAGUAAUUCUUGGGGAAUCUGUCAGCUAUGGAAAUCUGUGAGAUUAGCCCUGAAAUAUAUACUUGAUUGAUAACUAUACUGUUUCUAUUAUGCUAUGGUCCUGCUUUUUUUUUUUUUUUUUUUUUUUUUUUCGAUUUUUAAGUGUAGAGUGUAAUAUCUGGGGCUUCUGAAAGAAACUAAAGAUUUACUACAGCAUAGAAGUACCCUUCAUUCCUUUUCUUUCAUGCUUUCUAAUGCAGAAAUAAAUAUGCAUAAAUAAUGCAGAAAUGAAUAUUCAUAAACAUGAAACUUAACAUGAGGAACUUUAGAAAAACAUUUAAAAAUAUAUUUUGGUGUAUGUUGCAUUAUUCAAUUUUAACCUACCAUGGUACUUUCAGGUGACAGAUUGUCAUUAUGACUAUGCUUCCUUUUUCACUGGAGUCUAUCACUUCAGAGAGUUCCCACCCCCAUCUCAGCUUUGCUUUGCAAGCUUUUUUAUCUUUUCUACCUUGCUAGAGGCAUUAUUAGGGCAGUUCACCUUUGACCAAAUGGGCAGACGAACAUCCAUCCUCUGGAGCCAAUACUAGUGCUGUUUGGUAGAUGAGCUCUCAAAUGGUACUGAACUGUGACCUCUUCUUCUGUUCAAAGACUAAAUACAUAAACUUGAGCCUCCAUUGGUGCCAAGCCUGGGAACCUGAGUUGCUCCCUAAUCCCAGGUCUUGCAGCCAGCAGCACAAUGGGCAGCUCACCAUGCCAGUCAGCCAGCCUGAAAGAAUGUCUUUAUUCUCUCUUCCUCAACAAAUUGCUUAUUGUUUGGCCCACAGGCUGCUAGACCUUGUGAACUGUCCAAAACUUUAUUGCCUUUCUGUUAAACUUUCUUCUUUUUUCCCUUUGAUUCUGUUUAUAAAUGAAAUGAAUUUAUAUUUUCACUUCUUAGCAGUAUCAUUUUUAAAGAUGACUGUUACUUUUAAUCUUUUUUUUCAGAGUACAUCUGCCUUUUAGAAGCCUGCAGGAACCACAGAAAUAAUGCAAGCUCUGCAGGUUUAGGGUCCUUAGAAAGAAGGGUCUGGGAAAAUGCUAAAUGUUAUAAUACAGUAAAAUGAAGGCAAAUGAUUCAGGUGUUUCCAAAGAUACUGUUUCUCUGCUUUUGGCCUCAUCUUGACUGUGACUGCCCUGUGUCUAUUGUAUAAACAUGGGAUUCUGAUUCCAGACGUUCUACCAGCCUGACAUCCACUGGGAAAGUGAUGACACCAUAAAUUAUUUAGAGGUUUGAAAACCAUGAGAACUACUGUAUAUAACCAGAUUGGAUUGACUUUUUAACUCUUUUGAUUAAUAAUACAUAAAGCCUUGGAUAUGUGAAGUGGUUGAGUGCUAACCUGUUAACAAAAGGAGUAGCAGAGAUGAAUUCUAACAUUUCUCAUAAGUUAUUCUACUUAACACAUUGGCCAAACAAAACAAACAAAUGAAAUGCUCUGCCUUAGUCUUAUACCUUCAGUGCACCAUCAAUAUUUGAUGGCUACCUAAUGUCUCUAUAUAUCUGGCCACCAAUGAUAUUUUGAUCAUCUGGCUUACCAAUUUCAGUCUUAGCUUCUUUUUCCUGUAUUUGUGAAAACAUGCCACUAGAAAGUAGAAAAAGAGUUUCAAUAUCCUGGUUUCUUUUCUGACUUUCAUUUUAACAUUACUAACUGCUCAGAUGUGAAAAUGAUAUUUCAGCCUUCAAAAAAGCAAGUGAAAACCAGAAUUUCCUAGGUUUAUGGUAUUUUUUCUCUGCAGCAGGAUGGGAGUAGACAUUUGCACUUCUACAGAUAGAUUUCAUGUUCUGCAUUUCUGCUACUGACCCUGUUUUAAUUAUCCACUUGUUUCUUAAGUUUUGUUCUUUUAUAGGUUGCUUUGGGUGGAGCUUUCAGAGAAAAGAGACACUGUUAUUUCCUUCCUAUUGAAAUACAGAAGAUGAUGCUCAUGACAGCCUGCAUUUCUGAGCAACAGAAAAAGUGACAAGAGACGUCACUGUGCUUCUGGGUUGCCUGGCCCGUACUUCAGGAGAUAGGCUAUUCAGGGUGAUUUCAGAGCAACACAUUAAUUUACAAUAGAAAUAUAUAUGUAUAUAUAUAUUUCUGUGCAACUCUCUGGAUGUUUUUGUAUUAUCCCAAAUGACAUUUGACUUCUUUAGAUGUAGAAACAAUAUGAAACACAUUUCUUUACUCAUUCCUGUGCACUUUUCCCUUGCGAUUUCCCAUAGAAUUCAAUUUUCAACUUCUUUCUGCACAGGUACUGGGUAUCUAUUCAACCUGCUGCAUGUCCAGCCAAUAUUAAUCAAAUACUAAUACUAUCAGUUACAGAUACUAGUACAUUCUUUUUACCACCUGAUAUGCCCACAGAAUUCUCCUUCCUUGAUCCCUCUAAUGUCAGAAAUACCUGGAGGCCCAUGGCCCUCUUCUAAUUUUUUUAAACCUUGCAGACUAACCAUUCAUCCUCUCCCUGUCCAGUACCAAUGAUGCCUCACCAAUCAUUCUGGAAGCUAUAAGAUCUGUGUGAGAUUAAUCUAUGUUUAAAAGAAUGAAUAAUUCAAUUCAAAAGCAUGCUUUAAAAUUUUUGUUAGUCCAGGCUCCUCAAUUUGUUCAAUUAUUUUGUUGUAAAUUUUUAGUGAUGCCUUUACUGCAAUAUAUUUGAAUUUCCUACAAUAUGAGUAAAACGAGUCUCACCUCAGCUUUAAGAAAUGAGGACCAAUUUAAGAAAAUUAUAGCAGCCCACCAAUUACACCUGAACAAGGCCUUGCUUGUGACACCAAUAAUAAAUUAAAUUAUUCAGCAAUAUUUAUUAAAUGUUAAUGAGUACCAUCACCUGACUUCCACAAACAGAAGUACUGUGUGAAAUCUGUUGUCAGGUACUGUUUCCUUUUCUGAAAGGAAGUAUCAUCCAAUUUGCGUACAGAUUCUCUCCCCACUCCAAAAAGGAAGUAUAUCCAUAAAAAUAAUUAGAAUCUCUUCUAUAUAAAUGCAUAUGUCCCCCUUCUAUUCUUAUAUUCCCGCCAUAUCAAUAACAGUGUAGUCACAUUGAUUUCCUAGUUAUGAUUAAAUAUAGCACUCAAACAAUUUAUUCUCAUUCUUAAAAAAAUUCUAGAUGUGGUGUUAUUUUUGCAUAUUUUCUUGCUGCAUCUUAAGGUCUAACCGGGUGACUGAGAUCAGCAUCUGACUUUACCAGAAUAGCAUGGAUCUUAGUAUUUUUUGCAUAGUAUCUUUCAACAGCCAUAAUAAAUAAAUAAAUAAACAAACAAACAAACAAACCAACAUUUGUAUUUUUUUUCCAUCUGGGAUUAUGUGACAAAAUGAUCCCCUGCAUCUAAUCAAUUAUU